UUGAUUUAAUAUUAAAAAUAAAUCUUAAUAAAUAAACUUAGAAUUCUCCCACGGCAUAUCACAGGGACAACAGUAAGCAUCGAUAAAAGCACCCAUGUGCUAUACGUGCAUUAAUUAAUUUUGAUAAUUAAUUAAUUAUUUUAAUCCGGAAAGAUAAUGGAAUUUGGACUUAUGUUAACCUUGACGCAAAUUCAAUUAUACUAGAGUUUUUGUUAUCAAUUUUAUAAUUAUUAAGCCUAGUCGGAUUUGCACAAGCUAAGUUCUUUUAAUUUUAAAUUAU
This 280-nucleotide long non-coding RNA is filed under the name Populus trichocarpa (black cottonwood). RNAcentral describes it as "long non-coding RNA (PTRI_LNC000537)". Lineage: Eukaryota; Viridiplantae; Streptophyta; Magnoliopsida; Malpighiales; Salicaceae. The record is from RNAcentral.